GAUCAUAGUAAUCGUCUUUGACGCACCUGCUACCGUCCACCGGACGAUAAGGUGCUCUGGCAGAGGAUAAAUCGCCAAGUCCAGUGUUACCUCUCCGAGGCACACGUUAAAGAUCGUUCCGAAUUGUGAGUCUUGACCGUUGUAAAACACUACAACCGGUAGCAUUGGAUCCCUUGGCAUGUCAUUCGAUGAAGACCGUUGCAAAUUGCGAUAAAGUGAUGUGAUGCGCAAGUCCACCGCUUAUACGUGAAUCAUCGAGUUGUUGAACGCACUGCACCGCGCCCUAAACCGGCUGCGGCAUGCCCCUUUGAGCGUCAUUGUUGUUCCUUCGGGAGCCUUGCGUGCAUCUGCACCUUGGCCCGAGUUCAGAGUCCUCGGUCUUUGGAUCGUGUUCUCUUAGAUUCAGCACGCCGUUCGCUUUGGCGGGUUCUCUAAUGCUUGAGCGAGGAGACCUGCUUGUGAGCGUGGUGUUGGACCACGGCUUGAGCGUGCGUCACCAAGUCCCUCUCUCCGGAGCUGGGUACUACAAAUCAUGACCUCAUUGGGGUAGGACAACCCGCUAGACUUAAGCAUAUUAAUCAGCGGAGGAAAAGAAACUAACAAGGAUUCCCUCAGUAACUGCGAGUGAAGCGGGAUCGGCUCAAUGUGUGAAUCUGACUUGGGGUAGAUCCCUGGUUCGAGUUGUGCACUAUGGACGCUUUGUCUGCGUUGUGUAAUGGCGGUGGAAGUCCGUUGAAACACGGCACCCGAGAGGGUCAUAGUCCCGUACUACCUGCCAGCACUCGCGCCAAUGACAAGCGCUCUUCGAGUCGCGUAGUUUUGUAUUGCUGCGCCAAGUGGGAGGUAGAGACCUUCUAAGGCUAAAUAUGAUGACAUGACCGAUAGCACACAAGUACCGCGAGGGAAAGGUGAAAAGCAACCAUGAAAAAUGGGUUGAAACAGUAGUGAAAGUGCUGCCGGGAUAAGGGCUAUUGGGUGCUGGGGCUCUUUACGUGUGCUUUAGUGCUACGUCUGGAGACGGCUUGCGUGGGUUGAUUGGGGCGAUAGAUGCGCUGUGGGAAUUCGGCUGUCUCCGGACAGUGUUGUAAGCCCUGCGGUUGUGAUCCCCCUGCGAC
RNAcentral lists this ribosomal RNA (1115 nucleotides) under uncultured fungus. Its description in RNAcentral is "eukaryotic LSU rRNA". The stretch from base 534 to 1115 matches the Rfam family "Eukaryotic large subunit ribosomal RNA", at positions 1 to 586 of the family's 3401-position model. Lineage: Eukaryota; Fungi. The record is from RNAcentral.